UUAACAAUAAUGCAUAUAUCUCACUGUACCGGGAUUAGUGUGUGCUUCACCUCACUGUGUGUUCACGGUGUGCUGAGUAUGUUUCACUCCGUGUGAUUCACGGAUUGGGAUAAAUGCAGA
Long non-coding RNA from Alosa sapidissima (American shad), 120 nucleotides. RefSeq lists it as uncharacterized. The transcript is spliced from 3 exons. The record is from RefSeq and is a predicted model, not a curated record. NCBI's taxonomy places the organism in Eukaryota, Metazoa, Chordata, Actinopteri, Clupeiformes, Clupeidae.